CAGCGAAGAGAUCAUUAAUGCUAUUAUUCAUGAUGUGGACACAGAUAGGGUUGGUCCUACUUUCUUGUCAAUUGCUCUGCUUUUGGUUUUGAAAGUAGCGUACGCAUUUCCAAAUUUGUGUGAUGCUUUCCUUUCAAGUAGUUCUUUUUUUCAUAUAUGCAGAGGCGUGCAUCUUUGAUAGCAGAUUAUGGAAUUGGUCAUUCUAAACUACUUUGUUUUUUUUCUUUAAAAUUAUAUUUCUUUGGAAGUUAAAAAUCGUACCAUUAAUGCUAUGCUUUCUUGUUUGUGCAUAACCCCAAUACUUGUGCUCUGACCCACUCACGACCUGAGAUGUUUUCAUGGAAAUCUUCUUGCUUUUUUGAGGAGAGUUGAUUUCCUCUUUAUGAGGACUGAUCUAGUAUAUUUUACGGAGCCUUGGCAAUCUCAAUUUUCCUUUACAUCAUAUAAAAUUAUUAGUUCAUCAUAUGUUCUUUUUCUUCUUUAGGAAUCUUACCUGAAUAUUUUCUUUAAACUUACAGGAUGGAAGAAUAAGUUACGACGAGUUUGCCACGAUGAUGAAGGCUGGUACAGAUUGG
Molecule: unclassified non-coding RNA, 575 nt
Filed under: Hevea brasiliensis (rubber tree)
Lineage: Eukaryota; Viridiplantae; Streptophyta; Magnoliopsida; Malpighiales; Euphorbiaceae
Source: RNAcentral